GACGAACGCUGGCGGCGUGCCUAAUACAUGCAAGUCGAGCGAGCUUGCCUAGAUGAAUUUGGUGCUUGCACCAAAUGAAACUAGAUACAAGCGAGCGGCGGACGGGUGAGUAACACGUGGGUAACCUGCCCAAGAGACUGGGAUAACACCUGGAAACAGAUGCUAAUACCGGAUAACAACACUAGACGCAUGUCUAGAGUUUAAAAGAUGGUUCUGCUAUCACUCUUGGAUGGACCUGCGGCGCAUUAGCUAGUUGGUAAGGUAACGGCUUACCAAGGCAAUGAUGCAUAGCCGAGUUGAGAGACUGAUCGGCCACAUUGGGACUGAGACACGGCCCAAACUCCUACGGGAGGCAGCAGUAGGGAAUCUUCCACAAUGGACGCAAGUCUGAUGGAGCAACGCCGCGUGAGUGAAGAAGGGUUUCGGCUCGUAAAGCUCUGUUGGUAGUGAAGAAAGAUAGAGGUAGUAACUGGCCUUUAUUUGACGGUAAUUACUUAGAAAGUCACGGCUAACUACGUGCCAGCAGCCGCGGUAAUACGUAGGUGGCAAGCGUUGUCCGGAUUUAUUGGGCGUAAAGCGAGUGCAGGCGGUUCAAUAAGUCUGAUGUGAAAGCCUUCGGCUCAACCGGAGAAUUGCAUCAGAAACUGUUGAACUUGAGUGCAGAAGAGGAGAGUGGAACUCCAUGUGUAGCGGUGGAAUGCGUAGAUAUAUGGAAGAACACCAGUGGCGAAGGCGGCUCUCUGGUCUGCAACUGACGCUGAGGCUCGAAAGCAUGGGUAGCGAACAGG
Molecule: ribosomal RNA, 788 nt
Filed under: uncultured Lactobacillus sp.
Lineage: Bacteria; Bacillati; Bacillota; Bacilli; Lactobacillales; Lactobacillaceae
Description: bacterial SSU rRNA
Rfam family: Bacterial small subunit ribosomal RNA
Source: RNAcentral